Molecule: ribosomal RNA, 833 nt
Filed under: uncultured bacterium
Lineage: Bacteria
Description: bacterial SSU rRNA
Rfam family: Bacterial small subunit ribosomal RNA
Source: RNAcentral
AUGCAGUCGAACGAACUUAACCAUUAGUUUACUAUUGGAGCGGUUAGUGGCGGACUGGUGAGUAACACGUAAGCAACCUGCCUAUCAGAGGGGAACAACAGUUAGAAAUGACUGCUAAUACCGCAUAUGCCUUAGAAUCACAUGGUUCAAAAGGGAAAGGAGCAAUCCGCUGAUAGAUGGGCUUGCGUCUGAUUAGCUAGUUGGUGGGGUAAUGGCCUACCAAGGCGACGAUCAGUAGCCGAACUGAGAGGUUGAACGGCCACAUUGGGACUGAGAUACGGCCCAGACUCCUACGGGAGGCAGCAGUCGGGGAUAUUGCGCAAUGGAGGAAACUCUGACGCAGUGACGCCGCGUGCAGGAAGAAGGUUUUCGGAUUGUAAACUGCUUUAGACAGGGAAGAACAAAGACAGUACCUGUAGAAUAAGCUCCGGCUAACUACGUGCCAGCAGCCGCGGUAAUACGUAGGGAGCGAGCGUUAUCCGGAUUUAUUGGGUGUAAAGGGUGCGUAGACGGGAAGUCAAGUUAGUUGUGAAAUCCCUCGGCUUAACUGAGGAACUGCAACUAAAACUGAUUUUCUUGAGUACUGGAGAGGAAAGUGGAAUUCCUAGUGUAGCGGUGAAAUGCGUAGAUAUUAGGAGGAACACCGGUGGCGAAGGCGACUUUCUGGACAGAAACUGACGUUGAGGCACGAAAGUGUGGGGAGCAAACAGGAUUAGAUACCCUGGUAGUCCACACCGUAAACGAUGGAUACUAGGUGUAGGGGAUAUUAAAAUUCUCUGUGCCGCCGCUAACGCAAUAAGUAUCCCACCUGGGGAGUACGGCCGCAAGGUUGA